Molecule: long non-coding RNA, 803 nt
Organism: Panicum virgatum (switchgrass)
Lineage: Eukaryota; Viridiplantae; Streptophyta; Magnoliopsida; Poales; Poaceae
Exons: 3
Source: RefSeq, a predicted model, not a curated record
UGCACAUGGCAAUGAGCGAUGCCCGGUACAAGCUGCUUGGUGGUGGACAGUACCCAUCCGAGUGUGAUGAGGAUGCCCCAGUCCCUCGUGCCCUUCCAGUUCCAUUCUGUCGUUGUGAACCGGGCAAUCAGCUGGUAGAGGUGAAGCAAUCGAGGCAUCCCAAGACGGCCGGUAGAGCAUUCUACAUAUGCAAGUGGAAUGAUUCAUUGAAUCCUUGCCACUGCCUUUUCUUUCAGUGGAUCGAUGGUCCGGAUAAGUUCGAUCCUAGAAUUCGGUUGUUCCCUUAUUAUCGAUCAGAGUCGUGGGCGUACAAUGAGUUUAGACGAUGGGUCCCUCCCCCACCAAAUCCACAACCUAUGACAGAGGAAGAGAAGUAAGAAGCUGCUAUAUAUCGUGUGAACAAUCCUCCCAAAUGUCAUUGCGGUGUUCGUGCCAAACUUCAAAGGCCUAAUAUUGGUGUCCCUCCAAAGUUCACUCCCUUUUUUAGAUGCUCGCUAAAGACUAGAGAUGGAUGGCCGGCAUGUGACUUCAAUGAGUAUAUUUAUGGUCCUAGAUCUCAUUGGCCGAUAGAAGAGGAAGUGCGAGAAUUUGAGAGUGGGAAGAAGUCAUGGCCAUGUACAACUACUCCUAGUCUUCGAUGCAAGUGUGGUAUUCUGCCCACAAAAGGCGUAGUUCCUUCUGAGCUUGGCUACGGAUAUUACUGUGGCAAUAGCUACGGAGAGUAUUGGGAGGGAAGGACAUGUGAUUGGGAGUGGUUUGAAGGCCGGUAUGAGCUAAUGUUGCAAUUGGGCAGAACAAACGAG